UUGCCAUCAUUCAGUUGGGCACUUUAAUGGGACUGCCGGUGACAAACCGGAGGAAGGUGGGGAUGACGUCAAGUCCUCAUGGCCCUUAUGGGUAGGGCUUCACACGUCAUACAAUGGUCGGUACAGAGGGUUGCCAAGCCGCGAGGUGGAGCUAAUCUCUUAAAGCCGAUCGUAGUCCGGAUCGGAGUCUGCAACUCGACUCCGUGAAGUCGGAAUCGCUAGUAAUCGCGAAUCAGAAUGUCGCGGUGAAUACGUUCCCGGGCCUU
RNAcentral lists this ribosomal RNA (266 nucleotides) under uncultured Azoarcus sp. Its description in RNAcentral is "partial 16S ribosomal RNA". It matches the Rfam family "Bacterial small subunit ribosomal RNA", at positions 1115 to 1382 of the family's 1533-position model. The record is from RNAcentral. Lineage: Bacteria; Pseudomonadati; Pseudomonadota; Betaproteobacteria; Rhodocyclales; Zoogloeaceae.